GAUUGGCAUUUUCAUUUGAUUGGCAAGAUUUUUUUGUGAAUGAACAUCUCUUGGAAUUGGACUUUUUGUGAAUGCUACAAUGAUUGACAAAUUUUUUUGGUUGGUUAUAUUUUAAUGUGGGAUAUUUUUUUUUGGUGUAGAACCUUAAGAGUUGGGGUAGUCUUCAAUUGUUGAAGCAAAGUUGGUAUGUUUUGUCACUAGACAUCAGAAAAAUUAUCAAUGCUACCAAUUUCGGGUCUUUGGAAUUAUGAUACCACUAAAUAUAAGGGCCUUCAACUGAUUAUGGCAUUAUCUGAAUGGUUUUGGGAUACCACCUGUACUUUCCAUUUUCCAGCUAUUAGUGAAGUGAUGUUGACGCCCUAUGAUUUUUCAGUCAUUACUGGCUUGAAAUUGGGCGGUGUUAGGGUUGAAGGUCAUGACAGCAUUUCAUCUACUAAGGUCGACGAUUACUUAGGUGUAAACCCACCUAGAGUUAGUGGUAACAAUGUGUCUCUGAUGUGGUUAUAUUUCAAUAUUGAAAAGAGUAAGAGUGUGGAUACUGGCACCCAAAUGUUCAUGCUUUCUUUCAUUUGGAGUCUUUGUGUCUUGACUUGGGGAGUACAAUGAGUCUUUGUUAUUUGUCGAGUUUGAGGGACACUUUACUACACUUUAUGACCCAGCUAUCUAGGCGUAGUCUUUCAAGUCUAGGGGGUGCGCCGUUUGUUUGGUUGGUAAGAAAAAAAAUUUCAUGUAUAUUUUGCCAAGGUUAUUUGUGUUGUUGUUGACAAUUGUUGAUUUUUGCAAGUUUGGAAGUUGGGCCACAACUUUUGGAAGACGUUGUUGAGGAAUUUCCAAGGUUCCUUUGUUGGAUGCCCAAGAACUGCCUAUCAACACUUCCAAAGCGCCCUUUGAAGGCUUGGCAAAUGAUGAUUGAUGGCUUAAACAUUGAAGAUGAUGAUUAAGCGCCCUUUGUUUGAUUUAUUUCAUGAAGGGAUGUCUUUUAAAUUUUGAACUAUUCAUGAAUUUUAGAUGAACUUGGAUCCUUAGGAAGGAUGUGAGGAUUAUGCUAAAUGUACAUUGGCUCUAGAAUUGAAUGAGCGUCAAGUCUUGUUUGAGUGUGGCCAUGGCAGGUAUUGGUGUCUUAGAGAUCGAGUGCUCCCACAGGUUUACCAUACAUAUCCUCCUAAAGUGAAUUCCGUCAAUCCUUGUCCUUCAAUCCAACUGGCCAAUCUUUUAACUGAUGAUGAAGUAGCUAAUGCAAGAGUUGGUCGUGACAAUCUUUGGAUACCUGGAGACUAUCUUGAAUUUGUUCAGACUCAUCUGCAAGGCCGCUUAAUCGAUGCCUCUGGAGCUUUGAUGAACUUCCUUUUCUCUCAAAUCAACUCUUAUUACCUUUGCUAUCCUUGGUUAUUUGUAAAAAAAUAUCUAAAUGUUCCGUUUGCAGGCUUUAGUCCAUGGAAUGGGAGGUUCUUUUCAGGAUAGGGCCACUCCUUCUCCCCAAGGCAAUGUUGAUAGUCCUGAUGCUUCUUUUGCGGAAACAUGUCCCAAUUUUCUAGCAUGGCAAUAUGAGAUAAUAAAUCUUGAUGGGUCUUAUAGUUUUAUGAAGUUAGACUGACCUAAAUAUGCUCAGAGUGUUCCUUGGAGCAGCCGGGAAAGCAUGAGAAUGAUUGGAGGUUUGCAACGGGUUACACACACCCAAUCUUCUCAAUAUGUACUAAAUGAAUUGAACUGGAAUAAUCGAAUGACAAAUGUCAAUGCCAACACUCAGGUUUUGGAAGAAAGGAUCAGAAACUUUGAACUUCAAGACAGGCAGCCUGGGCCUCAAAUUCAUGCUAACCAAGAACAACAAGGGAAUGCAGAGGGCGGUUCUUCUAGAGAUGGGCCAAGAAGAUCAUCCCUUUGGCAGACUCGGAGUCCGAAUGAUGCUUGAUUGUAUUUUUUUAUUUUCUUGCAAAACACCAAAACAUCCCUUAGUCAAAUAACUAGUAUUAACUUUCAAUAUUAA
Molecule: long non-coding RNA, 1984 nt
Organism: Quercus robur (English oak)
Lineage: Eukaryota; Viridiplantae; Streptophyta; Magnoliopsida; Fagales; Fagaceae
Exons: 3
Source: RefSeq, a predicted model, not a curated record